Molecule: ribosomal RNA, 533 nt
Filed under: Mediodactylus kotschyi (Kotschy's gecko)
Lineage: Eukaryota; Metazoa; Chordata; Lepidosauria; Squamata; Gekkonidae
Description: LSU rRNA
Rfam family: Bacterial large subunit ribosomal RNA
Source: RNAcentral
GCCUGCCCAGUGAAUAACUUUUAACGGCCGCGGUAUCCUAACCGUGCAAAGGUAGCGUAAUCACUUGUCCUCCAAAUAGGGACCCGUAUGAAUGGCUAACUGAGGGCAUAACUGUCUCCUGAUGCCCGCUAAUGAAACUGAUCUACUGGUACAAAAGCCAGUAUACACCCACAAGACGAGAAGACCCUGUGGAGCUUACAAACUUCCCCGCUACUAAACAUAACACCACCUCACGAGACCAUGUACACCCUAGACUAGCGGCCGUUUUAAGUUGGGGCGACUACGGAGCAUAACAAAACCUCCAAGAAAUUAAGGCUAACACACCUUCCCCUAGGCACACACGCCAAAACAACUAAUAGACCCAGUACAACUGAACACCGAACCAAGUUACCCCAGGGAUAACAGCACCAUCCCCCUCCAGAGUCCCUAUCGCCAGGGGGGUUUAUGACCUCGAUGUUGGAUCAGGACACCCAGGCAGUGCAGCCGCCGCCAAAGGCCCGUUUGUUCAACGGCUAACGUCCUACGUGAUCUGA